GGCAGACGGGUGAGUAACACGUGGAUGACCUGCCCUCAAGACUGGGAUAACGGGUGGAAACACGCGCUAAUACCGGAUAGACUUCUGGGGUCGCAACCAGAAGUAAAGCUACGGUGCUUGAGGAGGGGUCCGCGGCCCAUCAGCUAGUUGGCAGGGUAACGGCCUACCAAGGCGAAGACGGGUAGGGGGUGUGAGAGCACGGCCCCCCACAAUGGGACUGAGAGACGGCCCAUACUCCUACGGGAGGCAGCAGCAGGGAAUAUUGCACAAUGGACGGAAGUCUGAUGCAGCGACGCCGCGUGGAUGAAGAAGGCCUUCGGGUUGUAAAAUCCUUUUCGGGGGGAAGAGGAAGGACGGUACCCCCGGAAUAAGCGUCGGCUAACUACGUGCCAGCAGCCGCGGUAAUACGUAGGACGCGAGCGUUAUCCGGAUUUACUGGGCGUAAAGCGUCUGUAGGCGGAUGAGUAAGUUGGACGUGAAAGCUCCGGGCUUAACCCGGAGAGGCCGUUCAAUACUGCUUGACUAGAGGGCGUGAGAAGGGAGCGGAAUUCC
Molecule: ribosomal RNA, 552 nt
Filed under: uncultured bacterium
Lineage: Bacteria
Description: bacterial SSU rRNA
Rfam family: Bacterial small subunit ribosomal RNA
Source: RNAcentral